Molecule: small RNA, 4031 nt
Filed under: Pongo abelii (Sumatran orangutan)
Lineage: Eukaryota; Metazoa; Chordata; Mammalia; Primates; Hominidae
Description: retained intron
Source: RNAcentral
CUAACUGUAUGCAGAAGGAUGAAACCGGACCCCUGCCUAUCACCACAUACAAAAAUCAACUCAUAAUGGAUUAAAGAUGUAAAUGUAAGACCUCAAACUGUAGGGAUCCUCGAAGAAGACCUAGGAAAUACAAUAUUCACAAAGUUGUGCAACUAUCACCAUAAUUCAUGUUUAGAAUAUUCUCAUCAGCUCCCAAAAGAAACCCUCAUCCAUGCACAGCCACUCCUAAUUUCCUCUUGUUCCCAACCCCCAGCCCUAGGCAGCCCCUAAUCUACUUUCAUGUCUGUAGGCCUUUUCUGGACAUUCAUGUAAAUGCAAUCAGACCAUUUGGGGCCUUCUGUGACUGGUUUCUUUUUACUUAGUAUAAUGUUUUCUUUCUUUCUUUGUUUGUUUUUUGGAGAUGGAAUCUCGCUCUAUCACCCAGGCUAGAGUACAGUGGCGCGAUCUUGGCUCACUGCAACCAUUGCCUUGCAGGUUCAAGGGAUUCUCCUGCCUCAGCCUCCUGCAUAGCUGGAAUUAUAGGCAUGAGCCACCACGCCUGGCUAAUUUAUGUAUUUUUAGUAGAGAUGGAGUUUCAUCAUGUUGGCCAGGCUGGUCUCAAACUCCUGACCUCGAGUGAUCCGCGCCCGCCUCAGCCUCCCAGAGUGCUGUGAUUACAGGACUGAGCCACCACACCUGGCAGCAUAAUGUUUUCAAAAAGAUUAUCCAUAUUGUAGCAUCUGUCAGUACUUCAUUCAUUUUUAUUGCUAAAUAAUAUUUGAUUCUAUGGACAUACCACAUUUUAUUUAUCCACACAUCUGUUGAUGGACAUUUGGGCUGUUUCCACUUUUUGGCUCUUAGAAGAAUUCUGCUAUGAAAUUCAUGUACAAAUUUUUGUGUGGAUAUAGUUUCAUUUCUCUUGGAUUUAUGCCUGGAAGUGGAAUUGCCAGGUCAUGUGGUUAUAACAGUGUGUUUAACAUUUUGAUGAACUGCCAGACUAUUUUCCAAAGCAGCCGCAUCAUUUACAUUCUCAGCAGCAAUGCAUGAGGGUUCUAGUUUUUCCACAUCCUUGACAACAGUGGCAGUUAUCUGCUUUUUUGAUUGUAGCCAUCCUCGGAGUGGGGGUGAGGUGAUAAUCUCAUUGUGCUUUUGAGUUGCAUUUCCAUGGUGAUUAAUGGUGUGGGGCAUCAUUUCAUGUGCUUAUUGGCUAUUUUUAUAUUGUUUUUGGAGAAAUAAUCUGUUCAUGUUCUUCGCUCAUUUAUAAUUAAUUUGUCUUGUUGUUGAGUUUCAGUAGUCCUUUAUAUAACCUGGAUACAAAUCCCUUAUCAGAUACAUGCUUUCCACAUAAUUUUUUAUUCUGAGGAUUGUUUUUUCACUUGAUGGUGUCUUUGGAAGCACAGAAGACUUCUAAAUUUUGAUGCAAUCCCAUGCCAAGUUCAGGUGGUAACCCCGAGUGCAGGGCUUUUCCACUGCAGUGCUUGCUUUUGAGCCUGGGACCCUUAGCUCUUGGCAUUCUAAUGGCUAAUGUUGUCUUCUUUCUUGCCUUUUCUCAUUUUUUCCUGCAGGGAUGGUUGCAGAAGAGUACAAUGCCUUUUUCUACUCACUGGUAUCCCAGGACACACAGGAAAUGGCUUACUCAACCAAGCGGCAGAGAUUCUUGGUAGAUCAAGGUUAUAGCUUCAAGGUACAUAUCCAUUUGGCCUCUGGUUAGACUAGGACCAAGGCCUUCUUGAUACUCUGGCCUCCAGGAGAAGUGAGGGCCACUGUCAGCAGGUAGACACCAAGCAUUAGGGGAUUAGAGGCCUUGCCUCAAACUCCCUUUAUCUCUGCAUGAAUCGCUGAGGGCAGCUGUUGGUGGGAAGUGUGCCGUCCUGGCAGGACUGAGAUGCCACGGCACUAUGGCCAGCACUGUGUGAGUCUGAGCCCCGCAGGGCUGCUUUCUCAGGGAUGUGUCUCCAGGUAGCUAGGAGAGCUCUUCCUUUCAUCAGCUGGCUCCAGGCCUUAGUUUGCCUCAGUUUGCCUCCCAGACAUCGGAGCCAUCCUGUACUACAAAUCAGGUAUUUUAAUAAUUGGGAAAUUCUAAAGCUUUGGCUAACUUUCAUUGGCUGAGGCAUUUGCCUUCUUUCCUGUUACACGAAUAUUACGUUUAUGUCAGUAUUUGGUGUCCAGAAGGGCUUUAUAUUUUGGGGAUAGAUGGAGGGUUCUAGAAGUAGGGGAAUUAAAUUCCCCGUAUGGUCCACUAAAAAGACAUCCCUAGAACAUUAGACUUCCAGGUUCUUGAUGGCAAAAGACAGCAAUCCAGGCUUCCUUUUGAGAUACAUUUUUAAUGUGUCUCUUUAUGCAUUGGUGAGAGUUCCCAUUAUUGGCCUUAGGAGGACAGGGUUGUCUGGCCUCCCCUCUUUUAGCUAGAGGCAGUGACACUUCAGACCUCUCAUGCUGGCCUAGAGGACAAGAUGCUUGGGUUUUGAGCCCAGUUUUUUGGAGGAUUUGCAUCAUGACCUUUUUAUCCAUCCAUGAAAAUCCCUACUGGUAAUAGCAUUCCUGCCUCCUCAUUCCUGCCAAGCUGUGAGGGUAAGAGGAGCACCAGGUCAGAAAGAGCUGCUCUGAAUUCUUUGAAAGGUGACCUCGACAAAAAAGGCACAAUACCGUGCCAUAGUAGUUUGUGUUGGUUGGAGCUGUGUCUUCAGUGCUGCCUGUUGAGGAGCAGUGGUUGGAGUUCCCAGAGUCAUGACAUGGAGUGGUUGGGCCUGGGCAGAUGUGCACAUUGUCUAUACUCUGGAUCCCUGGCCCAGAAGGACUCAGAGCCUUACUUCUAGGAAUUUUCAUUUAAUUAAAAUUAUGAGAAUUGGAGGGAAGGAGAGUUCCCUUUACAGAAUCAACCCAGGUUUUCUGCAGGGAUAGGGAGCCCUUGUAGUAAGUUAUCCCCAUAGAAAUGAAAACCCAGUCUCCACCAUGCUGUUCUUACUCUCUCAGAGAAGCUCUGUAAAUAAUCUUCCUGAUAUCCUAUUAUUUUCAUUUUCAUGUGUUCAUUCCUGCUGGAAGCCCCAGUUGCUGAGCACAGCAGAUGCCAGGGACCUUCUCAAAGGGCCACAGCCUGUGCCUUCCAGUCACUUGUCCCUUCCUUUGUCUGCUCCAAGAUGUGAAGGCUACCCGAAGGAGCCUUUUAAAAUCACUAAGAGUCUUCCUGUUGAUCUUCCAUAUGUGAUCAUUUAGAUGCUGUGUGCUGGGGGCAGAUUUCUCUAAAAUUCCUGCAUCCCUCUGGUCUUGAGACCAUUAGUUAAGCUCCCUGUUAAAGGCAGCUCCUGAUGCUGGUCUCUGGAAUGCUAGGGAGGAGCUCUCCAUUGUUCACCACCAGGGUGGCUAGGCCUGGGGAGGAAAGUGACCAAAGCAGGUGGACCCAGGAGAAGGCAGAGGAGGGCUGGGGAGAGAGAGCAGAAGGGGUCAUGUCUGCUGGCUUGGGCUUUGCAGGUGAUCACAAAGCUCGCUGGCAUGGAGGAGGAAGACUUGGCGUUUUCGACAAAAGAAGAGCAGCAGCAGCUCUUACAGAAAGUCCUGGCAGCCACUGACCUGGAUGCCGAGGAGGAGGUCGUGGCUGGGGAAUUUGGCUCCAGAUCCAGCCAGGCAUCUCGGCGCUUUGGCACCAUGAGCUCGAUGUCUGGGGCCGACGACACCGUGUACAUGGAGUACCACUCAUCGCGGAGCAAGGCGCCCAGCAAACAUGUACACCCGCUCUUUAAGCGCUUUAGGAAAUGAUGCUUAGGCGGGGUACUUCGUUCAAGACCAGCGCUUGGCACCCUCGCUGGAAAGGGAUUUUCAGCAUAACGUUUUCCUGCCGCCUCCUUGGCCUGCCUUCCAGCAGUGGCCAAAUCGUGCUGAGGAAAAUGUAUCAAGAGCUUGGCUCUGCCUUCAUGGGGCGUCUAGGGUUUUAUAAAGGAGGAGGAGACAAUACUUUUUCAAACCUUUUGGGGAGUGGGGUCAUUUCUGUAUAUAAAAAAUUUUAAUAUUUAAGGUGUAUUUAUCUCACUGUUCUGAAUAAACAGAAUGGACCAUUG